This 472-nucleotide ribosomal RNA is filed under the name Fusarium sp. CPK3330. RNAcentral describes it as "eukaryotic LSU rRNA". The stretch from base 78 to 231 matches the Rfam family "5.8S ribosomal RNA". Lineage: Eukaryota; Fungi; Ascomycota; Sordariomycetes; Hypocreales; Nectriaceae. The record is from RNAcentral.
CAGCGGGCCGCCCCCGCCAGAGGACCCCUAACUCUGUUUUUAUAAUGUUUUUCUGAGUAAACAAGCAAAUAAAUUAAAACUUUCAACAACGGAUCUCUUGGCUCUGGCAUCGAUGAAGAACGCAGCGAAAUGCGAUAAGUAAUGUGAAUUGCAGAAUUCAGUGAAUCAUCGAAUCUUUGAACGCACAUUGCGCCCGCCAGUAUUCUGGCGGGCAUGCCUGUUCGAGCGUCAUUACAACCCUCAGGCCCCCGGGCCUGGCGUUGGGGAUCGGCAGAAGCCCCCUGUGGGCACACGCCGUCCCUCAAAUACAGUGGCGGUCCCGCCGCAGCUUCCAUUGCGUAGUAGCUAACACCUCGCAACUGGAGAGCGGCGCGGCCAUGCCGUAAAACACCCAACUUCUGAAUGUUGACCUCGAAUCAGGUAGGAAUACCCGCUGAACUUAAGCAUAUCAAUAAGCGGAGGGAAAAAACCA